This 432-nucleotide ribosomal RNA is filed under the name uncultured bacterium. RNAcentral describes it as "partial 16S ribosomal RNA". It matches the Rfam family "Bacterial small subunit ribosomal RNA", at positions 29 to 507 of the family's 1533-position model. The record is from RNAcentral.
ACGAACGCUGGCGGCAUGCCUAACACAUGCCAGUCGAACGAGACCUUCGGGCCUAGUGGCGCACGGGUGCGUAACGCGUGGGAACCUGCCCUUAGGUUCGGAAUAACUCCCCGAAAGGGGUGCUAAUACCGGAUAAUGUCUUCGGACCAAAGAUUUAUCGCCUUUGGAUGGGCCCGCGUUGGAUUAGCUAGUUGGUAGGGUAAAAGCCUACCAAGGCGACGAUCCAUAGCUGGUCUGAGAGGAUGAUGAGCCACACUGGGACUGAGACACGGCCCAGACUCCUACGGGAGGCAGCAGUGGGGAAUAUUGGACAAUGGGCGAAAGCCUGAUCCAGCAAUGCCGCGUGAGUGAUGAAGGCCUUAGGGUUGUAAAGCUCUUUUACCCGGGAUGAUAAUGACAGUACCGGGAGAAUAAGCUCCGGCUAACUCCGUG